This 72-nucleotide transfer RNA is filed under the name Loxodonta africana (African savanna elephant). It matches the Rfam family "tRNA". From Rfam's summary of the family: Transfer RNA (tRNA) molecules are approximately 80 nucleotides in length. Their secondary structure includes four short double-helical elements and three loops (D, anti-codon, and T loops). The record is from Rfam by way of RNAcentral. Lineage: Eukaryota; Metazoa; Chordata; Mammalia; Proboscidea; Elephantidae.
GCUUUGGAGGGUUUAGGGGUAGAAUUCUUGCCUUCUGUGCGGGAGACAUGGGUUCAAUUCCUAGCCAAAGCA